GAUGAACGCUAGCGGCGUGCCUAAUACAUGCAAGUCGAGGGAACGGACGAGAAGCUUUCUUCACUGAUGUUAGCGACGGACGGGUGAGUAACACGUGGGUAACCUACCUAUAAGACUGGGAGGACUUCGGGAAACCGGAGCUAAUACCGGAUAAUAGUUUGAAAUGCAUGGUUCAAAAGUGAAAGACAAGCUUGCUGUCACUGAUAGAUGGAUCCGCGCUGCAUUAGCUAGUUGGUAAGGUAACGGCUCACCAAGGCAACGAUGCAUAGCCGACCUGAGAGGGUGGUCGGCUACACUGGACUUGAGACACGGUACAGACUCGAAUGGGAGGCAGCGGAGGGGAGACUUCCGCUAUGGGAGAAGGCUUAACGGGGAAACGCCGCGUAGGGGAUGAGGUUCUUCGGAUCUUAAAACUCUGUUAUUAGGGAGCAACAUAUGUGUAAGUAACUGUGCACAUCUUGACGGUACCUAAUCAGAAAGCCACGGCUAACUCCGUG
This 497-nucleotide ribosomal RNA is filed under the name uncultured bacterium. RNAcentral describes it as "partial 16S ribosomal RNA". It matches the Rfam family "Bacterial small subunit ribosomal RNA", at positions 28 to 507 of the family's 1533-position model. The record is from RNAcentral.